AUCAACUUUCGAUGGUAGGAUAGAGGCCUACCAUGGUGGUAACGGGUAACGGGGUGUUAGGGCACGACACCGGAGAGGGAGCCUGAGAAACGGCUACCACAUCCAAGGAUGGCAGCAGGCGCGCAAAUUACCCAAUCCCGACACGGGGAGGUAGUGACAAUAAAUAACAAUACGGGGUUCUUUCGGAUUUCGUAAUUGGAAUGAGUACAAUUUAAAUCUCUUAACGAGGAACAAUUGGAGGGCAAGUCUGGUGCCAGCAGCCGCGGUAAUUCCAGCUCCAAUAGCGUAUAUUAAAGUUGCUGCAGUUAAAAAGCUCGUAGUUGAAUUUCGGGACCAUCAUGUCGGUCGUGCCUAGGUACGUACUAGCAUUGUUGGUUUCUCCCUUCUGACGAACCAUGAUGUCAUUUAUUUGGUGUUGUGGGGAAUCAGGACUGUUACUUUGAAAAAAUUAGAGUGUUUAAAGCAGGCUCACGCUUGAAUACAUUAGCAUGGAAUAAUGAAAUAGGACGUUUGAUUCUAUUUUGUUGGUUUCUAGGAUCGACGUAAUGAUUAAUAGGGAUAGUUGGGGGCAUUAGUAUUCAAUUGUCAGAGGUGAAAUUCUUGGAUUUAUUGAAGACUAACUACUGCGAAAGCAUUUGCCAAGGAUGUUUUCAUUAAUCAAGAACGAAAGUUAGGGGAUCGAAGACGAUCAGAUACCGUCGUAGUCUUAACCAUAAACUAUGCCGACUAGGGAUCGGAUGAUGUUAAUUUUUUAAUGACUCAUUCGGCGCCUUACGGGAAACCAAAGUGUUUGGGUUC
This 798-nucleotide ribosomal RNA is filed under the name uncultured Glomeromycotina. RNAcentral's name for it is "SSU rRNA". It matches the Rfam family "Eukaryotic small subunit ribosomal RNA", at positions 314 to 1114 of the family's 1831-position model. The record is from RNAcentral. Lineage: Eukaryota; Fungi; Glomeromycota.